UCUAAAAUGGCAGAUUAGUGCUUUGGAUUUAAACCCCAAAUAUAAAAAUUUAUUUUUUUUUAGAA
This 65-nucleotide transfer RNA is filed under the name Hylastes ater. Its description in RNAcentral is "tRNA-Leu". Lineage: Eukaryota; Metazoa; Arthropoda; Insecta; Coleoptera; Curculionidae. The record is from RNAcentral.